This is a long non-coding RNA of Gallus gallus (chicken), 2229 nucleotides long. Lineage: Eukaryota; Metazoa; Chordata; Aves; Galliformes; Phasianidae. The record is from Ensembl.
UCCUUAGCCAAAAUUGUCUCAUGCAGCUUUUUAAAAAGAAAAAUUAGCAAAAACAGAGAAUAUCUGCUGUAUGUCUCUGCAUGACAAUUCAUCUGUUUACAUUUUUCUAGCAACUGAAUACCUACUAACCCUACUUGUCAAAGAUUUAUUUAUUUAUUUAUUUAUAAUUUUGGGAUCAGUCUGUAGACCAAAGACUUAAUAAUCAUUUUUCAGUGUACCAUAAAUGAUGAAUAUGGUCUUGAUAAGGUAGCAGGUAAUUGAGAUGCUGGUAAGCCCAUGACUAGCAGCUGGAUUCCUUUCCUCCUUUCACUUUUCUUGCGUUAACAUAAGAAAAAGCUGUAGUGUAGAGGCAUGAGCAUGGGCAAAACAUGCUGUGGUUUAUGAAUUAUUAAUCUAUAAUAGUUGCCCUGGGCAGACUCCUCUCUCUUAUUGCAUUUGUGGUAGCAAAGGCUGUUCUCAUUCAAAGGCAAGCAACUUAAUGUGAAUUUGUAUUUACCAAUGAAUAAUUGUGCAAAUGAUCUGAUCCUUUGUAAAUUCACUCUUUAGCUGGCUUUGUUCAUAAUUUCAUUUAACUGACCGCACAUAAAGCUUCCUAUCUUCAUGUCUUUUACCAGUGCAGGAGGGUACUUAUGUCAGUUUACAUGAGAAAGUGGGCAAGUCACAUCAUUAGGAAGUGCUGGUACACUGGUAUAACUAUAUUUGCACUAAAACUGUAGAAUGUAUAUUACUAGCUCCUUUGUUGUUGCAAACGACAUAGGCUAAUGCAAAGCCUGUACAUAGAUUGGAUCUAAUAUAUACGCUACUGUAGAAUAUAAAGCUGCUCCUCCUCUGCUAAAUAAUAUUGAAUAGUAUGCACACAGAUCAUCUCUCUAAGCAGAAAACCCAACAUUUGGCUUUUAAGUGGCCUCAUGAUUGCUGGAACAAAGACGCAUUAGAGAUGAUUCACACUUUGUCAUCUUCACAGAAUUGACUUCCAUUUUUCAUGUGUUAAUUUUUUUGUAGGUUGAAAUACCAGCUAAUUUCCUAGAAAUUGAUCCACAUUAUAUGACAGUAAGUGAACAAACAACAACUAAUGAGCAAGUCAGUUUUCCUCACUGAAAAGCAAACAAAUAAAAAAUAAAUUAUUUUCUUUAUUAUUUGAAGGCUGACUAAUGAACCACAUUAUUUGAAAUGCAAACAGUUUUACACUAUAUGCUUCGAGAACCAGCAAGUUAAUGGUAGCCACAGUCCUGUUUUCAGCUGUAUUGUUUAGUCAGUCUAGCAAAAUGAUCUGAAAUGGAGAAUUAUAACAUUUUUGAGCAUCAUGAAAAAAUACCAAGAUACCAAGAAUGUUAGAAAAAGCAAUAUUUUUUUGUCUGCCUAACACCUACUUAUACAAAGAACAGUAGAUGCUGCUAUCAUUGCUAGCUACAAAUAUUUAUAUAAAGAUAAAUCAAGGGUACUGUGAAGUGCUUUGAGUUGCUGCCUUUGGUAUAGUUUCCACAGAUCAGAGGAACAAGCAGUUACAUCCAUACUGAAUAACUGCAGAGUUCUCAGUUACCUGCCCUGAGGAAGCUAAUCUCCAGCCAAUCCAGAGAUCAGUCCAGAAGGAACUGUACUUCUGAGAAGCCUGAGAUGCUCUGAUAUAUCCAGUGUGUUCUGACACUCAAAAAAGCCAGGCGUGUACAGGAGAAUACUGUUGAUGACAGUGGCAAGUACUAGGUACCCUGGGCAAUCAGUCCAGAAGACACACAGCUUCUCUUAGUCUUCCUACAGGUGGAUCAUGUGGGACAGAGACCUUUAAUAGCUCAAAGCUCUUAGAGGAACAGUUGUAUUUUCUCACUGUUUCAGUUCUGCACUCACUCUUUGCGUUUCUGAGAUAUUUUCUAUCUAGAACAGCAAGAUAACCAACCUAUCUUACUGGGUGAUCUGUGUAAUUUAAUUGAAAGCUUUGUUUCAGCUUUGCCCACCUUGCUUGUGCUUAUUGGUAGCAGUUUCAGAAAAGAAUAAUUAUUUCAUUUUCAAUCUCACCAUUCAUAUUCAGGUCAACAACAGAAGUAUGGGCCAGUGGAGGAACAAGGAAAACUGAGAUUACUUUCUAGCUCCUAGUCACUUCUUUUUAUCCUUAAAUUGAGCCAAAAUUAUACAAAAAGCUUUCGUAUUUUGUGGUAUACUCUAGAUUUAAUGACAGAAUCAAGUACAUUAUUAUUUGUUCUUUUUAACUGCACUAGAAAUUAAAUAAAUAAUAGA